RNA transcript from Homo sapiens (human), 3166 nucleotides. It is a transcript of the gene named MAGUK p55 scaffold protein 3, with no coding region annotated. NCBI's taxonomy places the organism in Eukaryota, Metazoa, Chordata, Mammalia, Primates, Hominidae. The transcript is spliced from 20 exons. The record is from RefSeq and is marked reviewed.
ACUCGCGCGGCUCCCGUUCGCGGAGCACACAUCCCGGCGCGACGAGGUUCCUUCGGAGAGCGAGCGGGAGUCGGUGCUCGGCCUCCUGCGGGGAGCAGCCCGAGGCCUGGUCUCAGAGAACACAGUAGAUGUGUAGUCAGUUUGUUCAAUAAAUAUGCUUGAUGGAGCUUCAAUACCCACCUCCACCCCCUUCUCCCAGAAUCUGCAGGGAGAGGUCGGGAGGUGACAACGCCAGCAUGCCAGUGCUAUCGGAGGACUCUGGUUUGCAUGAAACCCUGGCCCUGCUGACCUCCCAGCUCAGACCUGACUCCAACCACAAGGAGGAGAUGGGCUUCCUGAGGGAUGUUUUCAGUGAAAAAAGCCUCAGUUACUUAAUGAAGAUUCAUGAGAAGCUUCGCUAUUAUGAAAGGCAAAGUCCAACCCCAGUUCUGCACAGCGCUGUGGCCCUCGCUGAGGACGUGAUGGAGGAGUUGCAGGCCGCCUCCGUGCACAGUGAUGAGAGGGAGCUGCUCCAGCUGCUGUCCACCCCGCACCUGAGGGCUGUGCUCAUGGUACAUGACACGGUUGCCCAGAAGAAUUUUGACCCCGUUCUCCCGCCUCUGCCUGACAAUAUCGAUGAGGAUUUUGAUGAGGAAUCGGUGAAGAUCGUCCGCUUGGUGAAGAACAAGGAACCCCUGGGUGCCACCAUCCGGCGGGACGAGCACUCAGGGGCUGUUGUGGUGGCCAGGAUCAUGCGAGGAGGCGCAGCAGACAGGAGCGGCCUGGUCCACGUUGGAGAUGAGCUCCGAGAAGUGAACGGGAUCGCAGUCCUGCACAAGCGGCCCGACGAGAUCAGCCAGAUUCUGGCCCAGUCCCAGGGAUCCAUCACCCUAAAAAUCAUCCCAGCCACCCAGGAGGAAGAUCGCUUAAAGGAGAGCAAGGUGUUCAUGCGCGCCCUCUUCCACUACAACCCUCGGGAGGACCGGGCCAUCCCUUGCCAGGAGGCGGGCCUGCCCUUCCAGCGCAGGCAGGUCCUGGAGGUGGUGAGCCAGGACGACCCCACGUGGUGGCAGGCCAAGCGAGUCGGGGACACCAACCUUCGAGCCGGCCUCAUCCCCUCCAAGGGGUUCCAGGAGAGACGACUAAGCUACCGGAGAGCCGCGGGCACCCUGCCGAGCCCCCAGAGCCUCAGGAAGCCCCCCUAUGAUCAGCCUUGUGACAAAGAGACCUGUGACUGUGAGGGCUACCUCAAAGGGCACUAUGUGGGUAAGGAAAUUGAGGCUCAGAGAGAUGAAGGGACUUGUCCAAGGUCAGUCACAUGCCAAGUAAAACAGUGACCUUAAGCCCUAGUUUGUGAAUGCAGGGGUCACCCUUUCAUCUUAUUAUUGUAUUUCCUGAACAACCUCUUCCAGUAGCAGGAGGAGGUUGGGAGAAGUCAGUGGGACUCAGUCCCAUCUCCAGGUCUGGCCAGGUGGGAAAAGUCUCUACUGGGAGAUCCUGGGACAACUGGGACAAAUGCCAUGGUGUCCCUCUGCCCCUCCUCCCAAGCUGGUCUUCGGAGGAGCUUCCGGCUGGGCUGUAGGGAGAGACUGGGUGGCUCGCAGGAAGGAAAGAUGUCCUCCGGAGCUGAGUCUCCGGAGCUGCUGACUUACGAAGAGGUGGCCAGGUACCAACACCAGCCCGGAGAGCGGCCCCGCCUGGUGGUUCUGAUCGGGUCUCUGGGAGCCCGACUGCACGAGCUGAAGCAAAAGGUGGUGGCUGAGAACCCACAGCACUUUGGCGUCGCUGUUCCACAUACCACCAGGCCCCGAAAGAGCCAUGAGAAGGAAGGAGUGGAAUAUCACUUUGUGUCUAAGCAAGCAUUUGAGGCCGACUUACAUCACAACAAGUUCCUGGAACAUGGUGAAUAUAAGGAAAAUCUGUAUGGAACCAGCCUGGAGGCCAUUCAGGCUGUUAUGGCCAAAAACAAAGUUUGUUUGGUGGAUGUGGAGCCAGAAGCACUGAAACAACUGAGGACCUCAGAAUUUAAACCCUAUAUUAUAUUUGUAAAGCCUGCAAUUCAGGAAAAAAGAAAAACGCCACCUAUGUCCCCAGCUUGUGAGGACACAGCAGCCCCAUUUGAUGAGCAGCAGCAAGAGAUGGCCGCUUCUGCCGCCUUCAUAGACCGGCAUUACGGGCACCUGGUAGACGCCGUGCUGGUGAAGGAGGAUCUCCAGGGUGCCUACAGCCAGCUCAAAGUGGUCUUAGAGAAGCUGAGCAAGGACACUCACUGGGUACCUGUUAGUUGGGUCAGGUAACUUUAUCCCAGAACAUCCAAGCUGGACGGGACCUUGAAGAUCAUCUAGUCCAGACUCCCUCAUUUUACCAUCAAGGAAUCUCAAGCGCAGAGAGGGAGAGAAUUCUCCACAAAUUCCAUCAUCGAGAAGAGUAUAAGUGGGAAGUCUUGUUUGUUGUUGGUUUUUGUCUGUUGUUUUUCACUGCACCUCUUUGGAUCAUGAUUUGAAAGGGGCAUAUCAGAAAACAACACAUUUCAUUUAUUAAAGUAUCACAGGCAAGCUGACCCUGAUUCUUUGUACCAAAGUUAAGUAGCCACUGUCUUUUGUGGGUGGUAGUGGUUAAUUUAUACAGUACUGAUUCGCAGAAUGUUUAAGCUUUUUAAACAUAGUGACGCUUAGUAGUUUUUUUGGAAGCUAACUUGUUUUAUCCAAGGGGAUUUUACAUGUAACUGAAGUUCCCCUGUCUUCAAGCACUAAAACGUUGAUCUUAACCUUUUUUUUGAAGUGCUUGCCUGGUAAUAGAAAACGGGUUCUCUGCCUAUUUUAAAAUAGUGAAUAUACGUAAAUUUUCUCUGGAAGGCUGAGGCACACUUCACCAUCAACAUGAAUUACUGUACUAUCCUGUACUGCAGUGGUGCCUUCAGGGACUCGAGGAAUGUAAGGUUGCCUUUCCCCUUUCUAAAUACCCUCAGAUUCCUAACAUCGAGCCCAUGCUUUGUUUGAUUUGUUCUAUUCCAUCCAUUGUCCCUUUUGUUACUGACAGUUGCCUUGGUCCUAGCCAGUCCCUGCCAUGAGAUCAUAGGGGUUCCCAUUGUGCUAGAUCUUGGGAAACCAGAUGACUCUCCCUGUCAAAACUAUGGCUACGUCACUGUAAACCAUUUCUGUCAAGAAUAAAAGUAUGUAGACCCAGA